GCUCAACCACUUAAACCAACCAGGAUCCUUUCUCCGUGGCAGCCUUGUGAGGCUGUUAAGAGCAGCCUCCUUGGGAAUGUGUGUGCCAUGUUGCCUACAUGAGCUGUCGUCAGGAGCCUUGAAGACAAAU
This is a small nucleolar RNA of Microtus ochrogaster (prairie vole), 130 nucleotides long. Its record names the gene SNORA70. It matches the Rfam family "Small nucleolar RNA SNORA70". Rfam says of the family: snoRNA U70 seems to be exclusive to mammals and is a member of the H/ACA class of snoRNA which contain H (ANANNA) and ACA box motifs. H/ACA box snoRNAs are involved in the conversion of uridines to pseudouridines (5-ribosyluracil) a constituent of structural RNAs (transfer, ribosomal, small nuclear, and small nucleolar). The record is from Ensembl. Lineage: Eukaryota; Metazoa; Chordata; Mammalia; Rodentia; Cricetidae.